This 1162-nucleotide long non-coding RNA is filed under the name Vulpes vulpes (red fox). Its description in RNAcentral is "lncRNA (ENSVVUG00000002925.1)". The record is from RNAcentral. Lineage: Eukaryota; Metazoa; Chordata; Mammalia; Carnivora; Canidae.
AUUUGCUUUCAGAUUUUGACAUCUACACUGAGAAGAGCUGACCUUUCCCUGUCCUGUUGCCAGGUGAUCCAUAAGAGCAGUGUGGUGUGUUUCCUGAGUGUGUUCUUUAUAAGACUAUGGUCAAAGUUGACAUUUAGAAGUAGAAUAUUCUUUAAAUGUAGAAGGUAUUUCUACAUGUAUUUCUAUGUCACUAGUGAAACAAUUAUUCUUAAAUCCACUUAAUGAGUAAAUUCUCACAAACCUCCUUCUGUGACACUGAUCGGUUUUACCCGGUUGUGGGGAGAGAAGCGCACUUUCUUAAAUCUCGUCUUUCUCGAAGUGGACCGGGCAGGUUCUGUCUCAUCCUCCUCACAGGUUCCUGGAGAAUGCAUAGCAAUAGAAAGCAGUGUUGUUGGCAUCUUGUGGGCAGAAGUCCAUGGGGGAUUAGUCCAAAUUGACUCUUGUAUCAGCCUUCUGUUCCCCCUACACAACUGUUGCCCCAUGGAGUGUCAUGUCUCCAACUUGGACUUAGGAAGAGUUUGCAUUGAGGUGUGGACUGAAAUACCCCCACAGACAGGUUUGUGGGCAAAUGCCCUGAUUUACCAGAGACAUUAAAGCCACACAGCAAAGCACCAUGAGCCAGCCUUAUGCCCUGGGCUCUCUUCGUACUUAGAAGAGGCGCGUACCUGACAGUGUUCCAGAAAGCCUUCGGUGCCUCAGUCCCCUGUUCUGAGAUGUGGAAAUGUCCAUACCGCCUACUCAUAGUGUGCUGUUAGGAGGCGAAAUGGGAUUGACUGCAAGUAGAACCUUGGGCACAGUGAUGGUUGGAUGCUUCACGAUUGCUUUGUAGGUAUGCAGCACUCAAAUGGCUACAGAAUGAGUUAGAUGUCUGGUCUUGGGUGGAUGUAGACAGGGGACUUGGAUGGCUCCACAGCAUGGAAGGUCGGAAGUUCCCUCUUUAGGGUUUAUAUGGAAAUGACGCUGUAAAGCGCAUGGAGGCCACGUGACAGCCCACUGCUGGAAUGCACUUAGUAGCAAAUCAACAGAGGUCUGCCAGCAAAAAACUAAAACUAAGUGUAUAUAUAUAUAUAUAUAUAUAUAUAGCAUAGUAUUGUAUAGCCUAUAUGUAUAGGAUAAUAUUCUACGUCUGUAGGAAUUGCAAGAAAUAUUUAAAAGCCAACAA